Molecule: ribosomal RNA, 446 nt
Filed under: uncultured soil bacterium
Lineage: Bacteria
Description: bacterial SSU rRNA
Rfam family: Bacterial small subunit ribosomal RNA
Source: RNAcentral
AGAACGAACGCUGGCGGCAUGCCUAAUACAUGCAAGUCGAACGAACACUUCGGUGUUAGUGGCGCACGGGUGCGUAACGCGUGGGAAUCUGCCCUUGGGUUCGGAAUAACAGUUGGAAACGACUGCUAAUACCGGAUGAUGACGAAAGUCCAAAGAUUUAUCGCCCAGGGACGAGCCCGCGUAGGAUUAGCUAGUUGGUGAGGUAAAGGCUCACCAAGGCGACGAUCCUUAGCUGGUCUGAGAGGAUGAUCAGCCACACUGGGACUGAGACACGGCCCAGACUCCUACGGGAGGCAGCAGUAGGGAAUAUUGGACAAGUGGGCGCAAGCCUGAUCCAGCAAUGCCGCGUGAGUGAUGAAGGCCUUAGGUUGUAAAGCUCUUUACCGAGAUGAUAAUGACAGUAUCGGAAGAAUAAGCCCCGGCUAACUCCGUGCCAGCAAGCCGAC